RNAcentral lists this ribosomal RNA (253 nucleotides) under uncultured bacterium. Its description in RNAcentral is "partial 16S ribosomal RNA". It matches the Rfam family "Bacterial small subunit ribosomal RNA", at positions 524 to 776 of the family's 1533-position model. The record is from RNAcentral.
CACGUAGGGCGCAAGCGUUGUCCGGAAUUAUUGGGCGUAAAGAGCUCGUAGGCGGUCUGUUACGUCUGCUGUGAAAACCCGGGGCUUAACCCUGGGCUUGCAGUGGAUACGGGCAGACUAGAGGCAGGUAGGGGAGAAUGGAAUUCCCGGUGUAGCGGUGAAAUGCGCAGAUAUCGGGAGGAACACCGGUGGCGAAGGCGGUUCUCUGGGCCUGUACUGACGCUGAGGAGCGAAAGCGUGGGGAGCGAACAGG